This 481-nucleotide ribosomal RNA is filed under the name uncultured bacterium. Its description in RNAcentral is "bacterial SSU rRNA". It matches the Rfam family "Bacterial small subunit ribosomal RNA", at positions 28 to 507 of the family's 1533-position model. The record is from RNAcentral.
GAUGAACGCUAGCGGCAGGCUUAACACAUGCAAGUCGAGGGGUAGAAGGAGCUUGCUCCUUUGAGACCGGCGCACGGGUGCGUAACGCGUAUGCAAUCUACCUUUUGCAGAGGGAUAGCCCAGAGAAAUUUGGAUUAAUACCUCAUAGUAUGUGAGGAUGGCAUCAUUUUCACAUUAAAGUCACAACGGCAAAAGAUGAGCAUGCGUCCCAUUAGCUAGUUGGUAAGGUAACGGCUUACCAAGGCUACGAUGGGUAGGGGUCCUGAGAGGGAGAUCCCCCANACUGGUACUGAGACACGGACCAGACUCCUACGGGAGGCAGCAGUGAGGAAUAUUGGACAAUGGGCGCAAGCCUGAUCCAGCCAUGCCGCGUUGCAGGAUGACGGUCCUAUGGAUUGUAAACUGCUUUUGUACAGGAAGAAACACUACUUCGUGAAGUAGCUUGACGGUACUGUAAGAAUAAGGAUCGGCUAACUCCGUG